This 301-nucleotide ribosomal RNA is filed under the name uncultured bacterium. Its description in RNAcentral is "partial 16S ribosomal RNA". It matches the Rfam family "Bacterial small subunit ribosomal RNA", at positions 509 to 807 of the family's 1533-position model. The record is from RNAcentral.
CAGUAGCCGCGGUAAUACGGAGGGUGCAAGCGUUAAUCGGAAUUACUGGGCGUAAAGCGCACGCAGGCGGUUUGUUAAGUCAGAUGUGAAAUCCCCGAGCUUAACUUGGGAACUGCAUUUGAAACUGGCAAGCUAGAGUCUUGUAGAGGGGGGUAGAAUUCCAGGUGUAGCGGUGAAAUGCGUAGAGAUCUGGAGGAAUACCGGUGGCGAAGGCGGCCCCCUGGACAAAGACUGACGCUCAGGUGCGAAAGCGUGGGGAGCAAACAGGAUUAGAGACCCCAGUAGUCCCUGUCUCUUAUAC